RNAcentral lists this ribosomal RNA (498 nucleotides) under uncultured bacterium. RNAcentral's name for it is "bacterial SSU rRNA". It matches the Rfam family "Bacterial small subunit ribosomal RNA", at positions 32 to 507 of the family's 1533-position model. The record is from RNAcentral.
AACGCUGGCGGCGUGCUUAACACAUGCAAGUCGAGCGAGAAAGCACCCUUCGGGGUGUGAGUAAAGCGGCGAACGGGUGAGUAACACGUGGGCAAUCUGCCUGGGAGCGGGGGAUAACCUGGGGAAACUCGGGCUAAUACCGCAUACGUCUUCGAGGCCUCGGCCUCGAAGGGAAAGCUGGCCACUACAUGUAAGCUGGCACUCCCAGAGGAGCCCGCGGUCGAUUAGCUUGAUGGUGAGGUAACGGCUCACCAUGGCGACGAUCGAUAGCCGGCCUGAGAGGGUGAUCGGCCACACUGGGACUGAGACACGGCCCAGACUCCUACGGGAGGCAGCAGUGGGGAAUAUUGGACAAUGGGGGCAACCCUGAUCCAGCAACGCCGCGUGGAGGAUGAAGGCCUUCGGGUCGUAAACUCCUGUCAGGUGGGACGAAAAGGUGUCGCUCAAUAGGCGGCGCUCAUGACGGUACCACCAGAGGAAGCCCCGGCUAACUCCGUG